GGAACAGACUGCCCAGGCUCCUUCGUUCAGCAGUCUGCACCUGUAUUUGGUUCUUUCCCUCCAUAUCUUGGAAAGAGGGGAGAGAGAAGUUCUUUGGGCAACGGCCAUCUGGAGCACUUCUCACUGGGCACAGGCUCACGCAGAUCAGACACAGAGCGCAGAGUGGAGAGCUUCCCGGACCUUCACAGAGAGCUUGGCCCUUGAAGCUUGUCACAGCCGGCCCAGCUGAGCAGAGGCGCAGGAGCAGCCUGGGGUGUCCCCACAGCCAGAUCACAGAAGCUCGGGGACACUCGGACCUUCAGGAGGCAGGAGGUGAUGCCUGGAAUGGAAGUUUCACUUGUCCGGCAGCCCAACCCUCAUGUGGCGCAUUCUGGGGAGCAGAGGUGAUGCUGGGCUAUGGCUUCACAUCUCCAUGGACCCUCUGAGGCUGGUGGGACCCCUCGCUACCUACAGCCUGGGCUGGUGUUCCCCGAGGUCUUCUUUUUCUCACAAAAGAAGCCAGGAUAGGGCCGGGGAUUUAGCUCAGUGGUUCUGGCACCUGCCUCACAAGCGCAAGGUCCCGAGUUCGAUCCCUGGUAUCAAAGAAAGAAGCCGGCUUAGCUCACCUCCCUGCAUGUCUGUCCCCACGGCACGUGCUGUUCCUCUGGCGGCUGGAGUUACCUGGGGACUGGGGCUCACGCUCUCCAGGGUCUCAUAGUAGCAGGGGUCUGGCAGUAUGGCUGGAGCAGUCGGAUGUGAUGGCCGAGUGAGGAGACUCACUAACCACAGAUGGAGAAUGGCAGCACCCAAGCCUGACUCGGGACCAAGCUGAACCCUGUACCCAGCACCAGUGAGAACAUGAAGAACCUGGCACGUGAUAUCAGUCUUCUAGCACGAGGCCAGUGUGACCUCCGGGGUCAGCUGUGGAGACACAGAAGGGCGGCAGUGACUGAGCUGUGGCCACCGACCUCUUGCUCUUGCAGCAUCUGUUCUGUGUGCAGGACACACCCGCUCUUUUUCCUUCAGAGCACCUUUUCUCCCUGAGCACUUCUGUGCUUCUCCCUUUUAUUCCUGCCCUAAAUAAAUG
Molecule: long non-coding RNA, 1066 nt
Filed under: Heterocephalus glaber (naked mole-rat)
Lineage: Eukaryota; Metazoa; Chordata; Mammalia; Rodentia; Bathyergidae
Description: lncRNA (ENSHGLG00000036990.1)
Source: RNAcentral